Molecule: non-coding RNA, 131 nt
Organism: Arachis ipaensis
Lineage: Eukaryota; Viridiplantae; Streptophyta; Magnoliopsida; Fabales; Fabaceae
Source: RefSeq, a predicted model, not a curated record
UUUCUCUCUUUUGGCGAGGACGGCGACAUGGUGGUGGUGCAACCCAGUACACCGGCGCGACUUCUUCCCCUUCCCUUCCCCUUCUCCGUGACCAACAGUGCUUCGUGGGUGUGUGUGUUGUGUUUUCUGAU